Molecule: long non-coding RNA, 206 nt
Filed under: Phoenix dactylifera (date palm)
Lineage: Eukaryota; Viridiplantae; Streptophyta; Magnoliopsida; Arecales; Arecaceae
Description: long non-coding RNA (PDAC_LNC020859)
Source: RNAcentral
AUCUACCUCAUCGUCAUUGUCCAUGUAGCAGAUUUGGGCCGUCUCUUGUUGAUCUUCCUCUUCCGAGCUUGACUCCUCACUUUCACUCCAUUCAACCAUGAAGUUCCUCUUCUUAAGUUUUCUUGCCAUCCAUUUCAAUUCCGGACAAUCUAUCUUGAAAUGUCCGGGCUUGUUACACUGAUAGCAAAUUGGUGUUUUCUUUUUCU